GACGAACGCUGGCGGCGUGCUUAACACAUGCAAGUCGAACGGUGAAGCGCCUUCCUUUUUGGUGGGUUGGGAGGAGUGGCGAACGGGUGAGUAACACGUGAGUAACCUGCCCCCUUCUGCUGGAUAACCGCAUGACAGUGUGGCUAAUACGGGAUAUUCUGGGUCUGUCGCAUGAUAGGUCUGGGAAGGAUAUUGUGUCGGUUGGGGAUGGGCUCGCGGCCUAUCAGCUUGUUGGUGGGGUGAUGGCCUACCAAGGCGGUGACGAGUCGACGGCCUGGGAUGGUGGACGGCCAUGCAGGGGAUGCGCCGCGGCGCAUACUACGGCGGGCGGCAGUAGGGAGGAAUAGGGCACGGUGGGAGCAAUGCUGAUGCAGCGACGCCGCGUGAGGGAUGGUGGCCUGCGCGUUGUGAUCCUCUUUCGGGAGAGAACCAAUCCUGCCUUGUUUGUGCAUGGCUUGACGGUAGCUGGAUAAGAAGCGACGGCUAACUACGUG
Molecule: ribosomal RNA, 494 nt
Filed under: uncultured bacterium
Lineage: Bacteria
Description: partial 16S ribosomal RNA
Rfam family: Bacterial small subunit ribosomal RNA
Source: RNAcentral